This 484-nucleotide ribosomal RNA is filed under the name uncultured bacterium. RNAcentral describes it as "partial 16S ribosomal RNA". It matches the Rfam family "Bacterial small subunit ribosomal RNA", at positions 30 to 507 of the family's 1533-position model. The record is from RNAcentral.
AUUGAACGCUGGCGGCAGGCCUAACACAUGCAAGUCGAGCGGAUGAAGGGAGCUUGCUCCUGGAUUCAGCGGCGGACGGGUGAGUAAUGCCUAGGAAUCUGCCUGGUAGUGGGGGAUAACGUCCGGAAACGGGCGCUAAUACCGCAUACGUCCUGAGGGAGAAAGUGGGGGAUCUUCGGACCUCACGCUAUCAGAUGAGCCUAGGUCGGAUUAGCUAGUUGGUGGGGUAAAGGCCUACCAAGGCGACGAUCCGUAACUGGUCUGAGAGGAUGAUCAGUCACACUGGAACUGAGACACGGUCCAGACUCCUACGGGAGGCAGCAGUGGGGAAUAUUGGACAAUGGGCGAAAGCCUGAUCCAGCCAUGCCGCGUGUGUGAAGAAGGUCUUCGGAUUGUAAAGCACUUUAAGUUGGGAGGAAGGGCAGUAAGUUAAUACCUUGCUGCUUUGACGUUACCAACAGAACAAGCACCGGCUAACUUCGUG